GAUGAACGCUGGCGGCGUGCCUAAUACAUGCAAGUCGAGCGAACAGACGAGCAUCUUGCUCCGGUGACGUUAUCGUCGAACGGGUGAGGAGCACGUGGAUAGCCUACCUAUAAGACUGGGAUAGCGUCUAGAAACCGGAGCUAGUACCGAAUAAUAGAUUGAACCGCAGGGUUCAGUAGGUGAUGACGGUUUUUCUUUUACUGGUUGGUGGAUCCGCGCCGCAUUAGCUGGUUGGUAAGGUAACGGCUUACCACGGCAACGAUGCGUAGCCGACCUCAGAGGGUGAUCGGCCACGCUGGCACUGAGACACGGUCCAGACUCCUACGGGAGGCAGAAGCAGGGGAUCUUACGAAAUGGCAGAAAGCCUGAGGGAGAAACGCCGACUGAGUGAUGAAGGUCUUCGGCUCGUAAAACUAUGCUAUUAGGGAAGAACAAAUGUGUAAGUAACUAUGCACGUCUUGACGGUAGCUGAUCAGAAAGCCACGGCUAACUACGUG
Molecule: ribosomal RNA, 497 nt
Filed under: uncultured bacterium
Lineage: Bacteria
Description: partial 16S ribosomal RNA
Rfam family: Bacterial small subunit ribosomal RNA
Source: RNAcentral